UCCAGUUGAAAUGCGUUACAUGAGCAUGGUUUUUCCUUGAGGCAAACAAUGAAAUGCGUUUCUUUUGUCAUGCAUCAUGUACACAUACUCUGUGGCUGGUAUAACCUAAUAAUAUUUUUAAAAAGUUAAAUUAAAAAAGGUCAAACACAAAGUUGUAAAUGCAUAUGCUACAAAAUGAUGCGAAAUAUAUAUUUGUUUUUUUUUUAAAACACAGCUGCAAAAUGCAAAUAUACAUAUUGCUAACAACAUAUGAAUUUUUUAUGUUUACUACAUAUGUGUACUUGUAAAUACAAUAACAGAUUUAAUACCAACAAAUUUCACAAAUAUACAUAUGAAUUACUGCAUAUGUAUUUAACAGUGAACAUUGAUUAUUGCAUAUUAUUUACUGCAUAUGUAUUUUUCUGCAUAACAAAGAACGUUGACUAACUUAACAGUUCUUUUUAAAGCACAUAUGUCCAUAGAUAUUAAACAUACAACAACAUAUACAUUUCAUACCAAUAUGCAGUAAUCAAUGUUAAACUUAAAACACAAUUGCAAUAAAUUUGUUAAACUUAAAUACAAACACAACCUAAAUUUUCAGCAGAAAAUAUAAUUGCAACAAAUUUGUUAAACUUAAAAUACAAACACAAUCAAAAUUUCUAGCAGAAAAUAUAAUAACAAAUUAUUUGUUCUAAGUUAACUACAGACAAAGAUGUUGACCUCCAUAAUCGAACACAACUAAUAUAUAUAUAUAUAAUCCAAAUUAUCAAAAUUAUAGAAAUAGUCUUAAAUUUUGAGAAUUAGACCUCUAAAAAAUAGAUUUUGAUAACUUUUUUAUUCUACCUGUUGAAUUUAAUACUGCAUUGCUUUUAACUCAAAAUUCAUUUAUAAAUUUUUUAAAAAAAAUUAACGACGACAACAAAAAAUUGAACGGAGCAUCAGUAAUGGUUGAAAAAAAAAAUUUGAAUCGAAAAAUAAUACUGAUUAAGUACCUUCAACAACAGUAAUGGUUGAAUUUGCAAUCGAUUGUUGAAUUCAAAUAAAUUGAACUGAAAAAUCUACAAUUGAAUUUGAUUCAACAACAUUAAUGCUUCAUUUUGAAACUGAUGUUGAAUUCGAAGAAAUUUCAAUCGAAUUUGAUUCAACAACAGUAAUGGUUGAAUUUCAAAGCGACGGUUGAAUUCGAACAAAUUGCAUAGAAAAAGGUUCAAAUGAUUUUGAUUUUGCAAUUUUUUUUUCUUUGGAUGAACAUGUUAAUGGAAAAAAUUGAAAUUUGAAUUUUUCUUAGUGUUGUUAACAUAUAAUGAAAAUCACGUGAUUUAAGAGGUUUUAAUGAAAAAAGAAUCUAUACAUUUAAUUAAUGGGUAAUUAUACCAUAUUUAGCUCAACUACUUUCAGUUAAUUAAGGACAGUAAAAUUAGCUGUAUAUGUAUUUUUAUAGCAACAGUUUCUAAAAAUACAAAAUACAAGUUGCUAUACUAAGUAAUUAUGAAAGUGUUGCUAUGAAACUGAUAAUUAUGGUCUUAAGUAUGCUAUUUGUGAAUUUUUCCCGGUUAUGGACUAUGAAUUUUUAUUAGUAACAUCAACUCUGAAAGUUAAAACAAUAUUUAGCUAAAUUUUGACUCAUAGUUGUAAUAACAAUAGUGUCAUUUGAUCUAUGCUAAGUCCGAACCCAAACUAUAUUAGCAUUUAUAUUUAUAAUUUUUCGAAUAUAACUUACAUAAAUCUCAAUCCUUUAGUAUCUAAUUACUCUCUAUAUUCGCUCUUUUUUAAAUUACAUAAAAUCUCUGCUUUUGAAGCAAACGGAUACAUCUUAUUACUCCAGAUACAUCAUUUUUUUUGACAUAUAGCUAACCAAUCAGUGGAAUUUUAAAAAAAUAACAAAAAUCUAAUCAAUUGUCACAUAAUUCAUGUGAUCACAUAUUUGUGACUGUUUUUGUAUCUUUGAUAAUGCAUAAAAAAUUCAAAAAUUUAAAUUUCAAUUACCAGAUCAAGCUAGUUCAAGCAAAUUCUUUCCAAUCUUGCAUCUCAAGUUUUUAAUUUUGAUUUUUAUUUUUCAGAUACAUCAUGAACAUCUCGAUUUUGUUAAGAAAUUCUGUUUGAUUUUCGGAUAUCAAAUAUAAAGGAUAUAAAUAUGAUGAAAUUGUAACUAAAGAGAAUAUAUUGUAUAUGAAUUCAAUUUUGGCUAUCGUAGCUGAAUUGAAAAUUAAUAAAUUCAGGAAAAUUAUUAAAAUUCAAUACAUCGUAGAAGGUAAUUCCUCACCAAUGAGAUUCAUAAGAUAAUUCACACAUAAUGCAUUAAAAAUAUAUAUAUAUUGUAUAUAAGUAUCACAGGACCAUCGUGGUACAUAAUUCUUAUGUAUCAGUAAAACAUAGAUCUCAUUUUGAUACAUAAGUCUUAUGUAUCAAUAAUACAAAAAAUAUUUCAAAACAGAUACAUUAUUUUUAUGUGAGAAUUGGAUCAAAAUAGUGUCAAAUAAGGGACAAUUUCAAUAAAUGGGUUUGUUAGAUUUUUCAUGACCAGAAUGGUGAAAACGCAUGAACAUAGAGCACCUUCAAUGUACAAUUUUCACGUUAAAAAAUAGACAGACGUUAAAAUAUAUUUACACUGAAGGUGCUCUACUUUCACGAGUCUUCAGUGAAUCUUUUACAUUUUAAGAAAAGGCUCAUUGAUAGUCAUGAGUCUUCUGUGAAUUUUACAUUUUUGAAUAAAAACUCAUUUCCUUCAAUGCACCUUCAACAUAAAUUUUAUUAUCUCGAAAUCUCAAAAGACUGUCAUCGACUGAAUUGAUGGAACAAGAGAAGACCAUUCUUUCACACACUAAAGACUCAUCUUUACAAUGCACCUUCAGUCAAAUUACAAAAACACCUUUCAGAGUUUUCUCCAAAAAAUAAUUCUUUAUCUUCACUCAUCUCAACUUUACAAAAUCACUAUCUUUACCUGAGGUCCCCCUUCUUCAUCUCAAUAAAAUAUAUUUACAUUAAAGGUGCUCUACUCUCACGAGUCUUCAGUAAAUUUUUUACAUUUUAAAGAAAGGCUCAUUAAUCGUCAUGAGCCUUCUGUGAAAUUUACUGUUCAAGAAUCUGAAAAAGGUUGCCAUUUUCUGAAUUGAUGGGAUAAUAGGGGAUAACUUUUUUCAUAUCCUAAAGACUCAUGGACAGCAAUGCACUUUCCACCAAAUUAAAAAUACACUCUUAUGCAGAGUGUCCUAAAAGUUAUUUUUUGUGCCUCUAUAUAUACGUACAUCCUCUUCAUUGUCAUGUAUAUUACUAAAUUCACAAAAACUAUUAUACUUUACAAUUGAUGUAUCCUUCAAUCUGAAUUAAAGUAAAAAGGUUAGUAAUUUUUUCUUAGUAUAUUGCUCUCCCUAUUGAGUAAAUAAUUUAUUAAUAACUUAAGUUAUUUUUACAGGUUUAAAAAUAUCGAAUGAGUGUCAUGUUAAAGUUACAUUGUAUUGCGUCGGCGAUGUCAUAUAUGAAUCUGAUACAGUUAGAUAUAGUUGUGUUGCUUGUGCAGUUGUUAAACUUUCACUAAAUGUUGAGUAUGAUUGGCUAGUUAGAAACUUACUUAUUAGAAUGAAAACUAAUCCAAAUGAGAUAAGGUUUGUUAUUUUGAAAAUAUGGUCAUUUUCAACUGUGCAGGAUAAUGCUCAUUAUUUUGAAAUUCCCAUACUUGAUAAUGAGUCUUUGCAAAUAUUUAUGGUGGUACCUGAUACGGUGUGUUAUAUGAUGAAUAUUGAUUUAUUGAAGAUGUAUAUUAAAACAGAAGCAUUAGAUGUUGUUGAACCUACACAUUACAAAUGACCCCCAAAGCAUUACAAGUUUACAACGAGGCUAUACACUUUUGGCACGCCAAAUCUUUACCAACCUCGCAACCCACUGUGAGUUUUUCAUUGAGAUUUACUGGAGUACAGAAUUAACACUUGUUUUUAUACCCAUUAUCAUAUACAACCAACCAAUGAAUAUGACAAUUUAACAGCAGGUUAAUCCAACAAACAUUUCUCAACUUUAAACAUAAGACAAUAAAAACAAAAAUAUUUAGCAAGUAUAAGAGCUGGAAGACUCUAUUGACUGCUAUAUAAAACUCUUUUAUGAUCUUGUAAAUUGUAAUGUAGAGUGGGAUUUUACUAAUAAUAUCACAUAACUUUAUGGCCAUCCAGAACUUACGUAAGGAAGCUGAAAGUAAAGCAUAAUUAUGCAGAUAAUUAUAAGGUAGUGUUGUACCAAAAUUUCAUGUCUGCCUGUAAAACACUGAUAACCUUAUCUAAAUUGAUGAUCCGAAUUAUUGAUCAAAUGACGAGUAAUUGUGUUAUACCAUUGCACAUAUUUUUUGUCAUCUUCGAGACAAUCAGGCUCAACAUUGUGAUUUCGUCUAUCUCUCCAGAUUUCAACCUCUUUACUUAAGAAAUGAUGUCAAUUAAAGUUAGCUCUACCUCUCCGAUUCAACUGAAAAUGUUUGGGAUCACACAAUAUUCUACUCGGAAUAUUUCGAAUCAACCCAAACUGACAUAGUACCCUAUCUGGAUAGUGCAACUCAACUACAUCCCAAGCUAUUAUGGGUACAAUAUCACGUCAAAUACUGAAACUAUUCACACAAUAAUCUGGUAAUGUAGUAAAAACAUCGGGACUAUAUGGCUGCCACACAAACUAUAUACAUAUAAAUUUAGUUAGUUUUUAUGACUUAAAAAAUUAAAAAAAAGAUAGAUAAAGCAAUUAUUCAAAAGUAAAAAAUACCUAACAUUCUAUAAGUAAAUUCAGUUGAUCACGAAAUAAAUAUAAUAGGCGAGGUGCUUCUGUAUCGUGGCAUAACCCAUUAGACCAGACACGAGCACGUGAUGGUCCUGGAAGGAUAGAAAUAAGCCACUCGUCAACUAGGAGAUUAGGAUCUCUCUGAGGCCUGAGAGGCAAAAUCCUAUCAUAUAUCUAUACCUUCACAUAUUCAUAUAAAUACAAUAAAUAAAUAUUAAAAAUGUGUUGCUUUAAGAAAAUAAAUUAAAGUAGCUAACCUGAAGUAAAGGUAAAAAACCACCAAUGACUCUAAUUCAUUUUUGCGAUGCACGACAAAGAUACCGAUAAAGUAUUGCAAGUGUUGUUGCACCCCAAGCAUAUUGACCAAUUUUGGAUAAAUCCGCAAGCAAAUAUAGAUACAUCAACUUAACUUUGUUACCCGAUGUGUCAACGACAAAUAUGCCUUCAAUAAUCCACAACAAGUACAAACGCACCCAUUGUUGAACAUCAACCUCACAACUCACAUCAGUAAUCAAAGGAAGAUUUGUAAUAUGUUUAAUCAAACAAGUCAUAAGAAAUCUACUACCCUAAAAUUCUCGAUCAAUAUCUACCCGUGUCCAACUAAAAAAAUCUAUCAUACGCGUUUGUCACUCUGUAGGGUCCAAGGUAAGAUCUAUUUCCGUCACAGAUAACCCAUCGACUGACAACCCAUAUAAUAUAGCUACGUCCUGCAACGUAAGUGUGGCCUCUCCAAAGUUUAAAUAAAAUGUGUAUGUUUCUGAUCGCCAUCUUUCUACCAACGUAGUGAUCAUAGCGUGAUCAAGUGGCGUGUGUCCAGUUACAUAUAUACCAUAAAAUUCAGCAUCGAGCAAGUAACGACACACACACUCAUGUAAUAGAUUUCUACUUAUGUAAUCCCAAAAGUCACCAUCAUACUAACAACAUGUCAAUGUGUCACAUGUGCCAUUAUUCCAAAUAUCUUCACUACGAUGACUAAUUUGUCCUACAAGGACACUCAAAUAAAUGGACCUAGAUGCACAAUAGGCGGUGUCAUAAGACCUAAAAUAUAAAGUAUGUGUUUGUUUGAUUCAAAAAUCAUUAAGCAUGAAAAGCUAAAUUGUGACAUGAAAAGCUAGAACAAAAAAUGAAGUUAACUUAUUUCUAAGAGCACUUGAAAUAAAUCAAAUUACAAAAAUAUUCUAUAGACUAUUUUAUAAGAAAAAAGUAAUAAUAGUAGUACAAUAAUAAUAUAAUAAAAAGAAUGUGAUGAAAGAUUACUAUACAAAUUUUAAGAGUAACUACAACUAAUGUAAGAAAAAAAAGAGCAUAAAGUUACCUUUUUUCUAAUUUGAAUGAUGAUUAACAUUCUAAAUUUCCAUCUUUCAAAUAAUAUUGUGAAGCUUUAUUUUUUAAUAUGUUAAAUAAAGCUUGUAGGGUCUUUAUCUUAAAGAAAAUGACAAUGGUGAAGAAGGGGGGCCUCUGAAAAAGAUAGAGACUUUCUCUUAGUAAAGUUGAGAUGAAGUCGAGAGUGUUUUUGUAAUUUGACUGAAAGUGCGUUGUAAAGAUGAGUCUUUAGUGUGUGGAAAAAUGGCCUUCUAUUGUCCCAUUAAUUCAGACGAUGACAGUUUUUUCUGAUUUCGAUAUAAUAAAAUUUAUGUUGAAGGUGCAUUGAAGGAAAUGAGUCUUUCUUCAAAAACGUAAAAUUCACAGAAGGCUCAUGACUAUCAAUGAGUCUUUCUUUAAAAUGUAAAAGAUUCACUGAAAACUCGUGAAAGUAGAGCACCUUCAUUGUAAAUAUAUUUAACGCUUGUCUAUUUUUUUUAAUGUAAAAAUUGCACACUGAAGGUGCUCUAUGUCCAUGUAUUUUCACUAUUUUGAUCAUGAAAAAUCUGACAAACCCAUUUAUUGGAAUUGUCCCUUAUUUGACAUUAUUUUGAUCCAAUUCUCAUUUUUAUGUAUCUAUACACAAAGUUCAGUAGGAUACAUAGUAUUUGUACCUUUUUAGAUGAUCCUGCAAUGUAUCUUCAUGUCCUUGACCAUUCCGCCAUUAAUAAAGGAUACCUCAUAAAGUCCGCGACACACUACUCUUCUAUACCUCCAUUGAUUUUUUCAAGUAAAAAUUUUGUGGGGGACAUACCAGAUACAUUUCAUGGAACCAUCGUCAAAUUCGAUUUCAUAUGAAAAAAAUAUGGAAUGUGACGUAAGAUAAAGAAUUAUCAGUAAAUUGAAACUUUUAAUUAAAUUGACUCGGUAGUGGUGUUCAUUGUUUUUGUUGAUUGUAUUUGUGGGUGAAGAAAAAUGGAGAAAUGGAGGAUUUUUACAUGGGUGUUAGUGCGGAUGAAUUUUGAUAUGUAUGGAGGGUUUGUUGCCCGAAAAUUCUUGAGGGAGGAGGAAGUUAGAUGUGAAGGGAGUAUUUGAUUGGUGGAGAGAAUUUCUUCAUCCGAGAAAGGAGGAGGAGUAGGUGGUGCCUUUCCAUUUUUGUG
RNAcentral lists this long non-coding RNA (7190 nucleotides) under Capsicum annuum. RNAcentral describes it as "long non-coding RNA (CANN_LNC005466)". The record is from RNAcentral. Lineage: Eukaryota; Viridiplantae; Streptophyta; Magnoliopsida; Solanales; Solanaceae.